This 253-nucleotide ribosomal RNA is filed under the name uncultured bacterium. RNAcentral's name for it is "partial 16S ribosomal RNA". It matches the Rfam family "Bacterial small subunit ribosomal RNA", at positions 524 to 776 of the family's 1533-position model. The record is from RNAcentral.
UACGUAGGGGGCAAGCGUUGUCCGGAUUUAUUGGGCGUAAAGAGCGUGUAGGCGGCCUGACAAGUCUGCUGUGAAAACUCGAGGCUCAACCUCGAGAUGUCGGCGGAAACUGUCUGGCUAGAGUCCGGAAGAGGAGAGUGGAAUUCCUGGUGUAGCGGUGAAAUGCGCAGAUAUCAGGAAGAACACCGGUGGCGAAGGCGGCUCUCUGGGCCUUACCUGACGCUGAGGAGCGAAAGCGUGGGUAGCGAACAGG